UACACACCGCCCGUCACACCAUGGGAGUUGGCUUUACUCGAAGACGGUGCGCGAACCCGCAAGGGACGCAGCCGGCCACGGUAGGGUCAGCGACUGGGGUG
This 101-nucleotide ribosomal RNA is filed under the name uncultured bacterium. RNAcentral describes it as "partial 16S ribosomal RNA". It matches the Rfam family "Bacterial small subunit ribosomal RNA", at positions 1384 to 1482 of the family's 1533-position model. The record is from RNAcentral.